Molecule: ribosomal RNA, 524 nt
Filed under: uncultured Diversisporaceae
Lineage: Eukaryota; Fungi; Glomeromycota; Glomeromycetes; Diversisporales
Description: SSU rRNA
Rfam family: Eukaryotic small subunit ribosomal RNA
Source: RNAcentral
AGCAGCCGCGGUAAUUCCAGCUCCAAUAGCGUAUAUUAAAGUUGUUGCAGUUAAAAAGCUCGUAGUUGAACUUCGGGGUUUACCCAUUGGUCAGGCUUAAUUGUCUGUACUGGUGAGAUAAAUCUCUACCUUCUGAAGAACUUUCAUGCCAUUUAUUUGGUGCGAUUGGAAAUCAGGACUAUUACUUUGAAAAAAUUAGAGUGUUUAAAGCAGGCUAACGUCUGAAUAUAUUAGCAUGGAAUAAUGAAAUAGGACGGCUUGGUUCUAUUUCGUUGGUUUCUAGGAUCACCGUAAUGAUUAAUAGGGAUAGUUGGGGGCAUUAGUAUUCAAUUGUCAGAGGUGAAAUUCUUGGAUUUAUUGAAGACUAACUACUGCGAAAGCAUUUGCCAAGGAUGUUUUCAUUAAUCAAGAACGAAAGUUAGGGGAUCGAAGACGAUCAGAUACCGUCGUAGUCUUAACCAUAAACUAUGCCGACUAGGGAUCGGACGAAGUUAAUUUUAUAAUGACGCGUUCGGCACCUUACG